This 553-nucleotide long non-coding RNA is filed under the name Lupinus angustifolius (narrow-leaved blue lupine). RNAcentral describes it as "long non-coding RNA (LANG_LNC000363)". Lineage: Eukaryota; Viridiplantae; Streptophyta; Magnoliopsida; Fabales; Fabaceae. The record is from RNAcentral.
UAUUCAGGUGAUCCUCAUCAUUCCUGUAUCAGCAUAAAGAUGACAAAGUUAUAAGUGCUUGCUGUAGGUAUGCACUUACGACCCUUAACCGUAUUUGGAAUUAUUGGAUAGCUGGAUCAGAUUGUGUAUUUGUUUCAUCCUCAACAUAAUUUAAUUGCUUUGAGCAUGUUAGUGUUGUUCUAUUGUUUUGUGCAUAUGCUUUUCUUUUUCCCCCUUUUUUUUUGCAGUUGGAAGUUGGCCAUAGAAGAUAACUUGUACGUCCAGUAUUGAUCAAUUGUUCGUGAUUCGCUUAUGGUUGCGUGGCUGAAGUGACUCCCCUUCAUUAGAAUCUGGAUGCGGUUUCCUUCAACCUUAAGUUUGCAUUUGUAGCCUUAUGGUAGGAAAAGAACAAAAUGAUGUAAUAUUCAUGCGUUGAACCUUUUGAAGUUUCUUAGUAUUAUUUAUUCUUGCUCAUAGAGAAAUAUUUAGAAAAUGUAACCCAGUAUGUGAUGGGAACUCUUGUCCAUGUUUUAGCAUUUUAAUGUGGCAUCCUCUUUUGAUAUAAACAAUAUUA